RNAcentral lists this ribosomal RNA (460 nucleotides) under uncultured bacterium. RNAcentral's name for it is "partial 16S ribosomal RNA". It matches the Rfam family "Bacterial small subunit ribosomal RNA", at positions 339 to 795 of the family's 1533-position model. The record is from RNAcentral.
CUACGGGCGGCUCCAGUGGGGAAUAUUGCGCAAUGGGCGAAAGCCUGACGCAGCCACGCCGCGUGAGCGAUGAAGGUCUUCGGAUCGUAAAGCUCUGUGGAGGGAGAAGAAUCAAGGCGGUGAAGAGCCGCCCCUGACGGUAUCCCUUUAGCAAGCACCGGCUAACUCCGUGCCAGCAGCCGCGGUAAUACGGAGGGUGCAAACGUUGCUCGGAAUCAUUGGGCGUAAAGCACACGUAGGCGGCCGAGCAAGUUGGGUGUGAAAGCCCAGGGCUUAACCCUGGAAGUGCACCCAAAACUGCUCGGCUUGAGUGCCGGAGGGGGUCAGGGAAUUCCCGGUGUAGAGGUGAAAUUCGUAGAUAUCGGGAGGAAUACCAGUGGCGAAGGCGCUGAGCUGGACGGUUACUGACGCUGAGGUGUGAAAGCGUGGGGAGCAAACAGGAUUAGAUACCCCGGUAGUC